UGCUGAAUUAUUCGCCACUGCGCGAAAGCGUGACGGUGCGACGCCGCGUGGAGGAUGAAGGCCUUCGGGUUGUAAACUCCUGUCAGGGUAUAGAAAACCGCAGUUGUUAACAGCAGCUGCGCUGAUCAUAUCCAAUGGAAGCACAGGCUAACCUCGUGCCAGCAGCCGCGGUAAUACGAGGUGUGCAAGCGUUGCUCGGAAUCACUGGGCAUAAAGGGUGCGUAGGCGGUGUGGUCAGUCGGAUGUGAAAUCCCUCGGCUUAACCGGGGAACUGCAUCCGAUAGUACCACGCUGGAGGGUGAAAGGGGCAAGCGGAAUGCCAGGUGUAGCGGUGGAAUGCGUUGAUAUCUGGGAGAACGCCAACGGCGAAGGCAGCUUGCUGGGUCACCUCUGGCGCUGAGGCACGAAAGCUAGGGGAGCAAACA
Molecule: ribosomal RNA, 425 nt
Filed under: uncultured prokaryote
Description: bacterial SSU rRNA
Rfam family: Bacterial small subunit ribosomal RNA
Source: RNAcentral